Molecule: long non-coding RNA, 258 nt
Filed under: Gossypium raimondii (Peruvian cotton)
Lineage: Eukaryota; Viridiplantae; Streptophyta; Magnoliopsida; Malvales; Malvaceae
Description: long non-coding RNA (GRAI_LNC003722)
Source: RNAcentral
GCGGCUGAAGCUGGAAACUGUUGAAGGCUAGGGUUUCAACUUGAAUCGGGCCGUGUAAAUUGGGUUAGGAUAUUAGCUUUAGGAAUGGGCUGAGUUGUUUAUUGGGCCAAAUUUUGUUAUAAUAGACUGUUAUUUUAUUUUUAUUUGGUUUUUUUAUAUUUAUUUUUUUGUUAUUUGGGUCUGUUUUGCUGGUAUGGGCUCGGGCAAAAAUGGGCUCUUACAGCUGCCCCUCUUUGCUCAUUGUCGUGUAACGGGAAU